Molecule: long non-coding RNA, 360 nt
Filed under: Capsicum annuum
Lineage: Eukaryota; Viridiplantae; Streptophyta; Magnoliopsida; Solanales; Solanaceae
Description: long non-coding RNA (CANN_LNC014246)
Source: RNAcentral
UUCCGCUUACUGAUGCAUACUCUUUCUUUAUUCUAUAAUUUCUCAUAUCAUAGGUUUGGACUCUCAGGUUCCUUAUCGCACUUAGAUAGAUUUAGUCAGCAGCCCCUGAUUCAGUAGUGAGUCCUCAUCUAUCAAGGAUGUGCAUUUAAUCAAUAUUUUCGAAUUUAUCUUUAGUAUUUCAUUAGUUGGAGUUAGUUGGGGGCUUGUCCCAUCAACUCCACAUUCAGAUAGUUUAGUUAGAGGCUUUUCAGACUAGACUAGUUUAGACAGUAUAUUCAGUUUUUAGAUAUUUUAUCAAAUGUUAUUACUGUACUAGUACUUUAGAUUUUGAACCUUAUGGUAAUUCAACCGAUUUUCCGC